GGAGGGGCGACAUUUGCUUCUGUCCAAUUGGUUCUGUAGCCUCUUUGGAACUAGAUUUUCUUCAAGAGAAUUGGUGCUCAGUGUCACAGGCUGCCUUGUUUGGUUGCCUGAAGUUUCUAUUAAAAGUGUCACUUUACUGACUGUUAAUAUUGGCCUCUUCCCAGGGAGAUGUGGACGCUCCAAGUAUCAGCCUGCAGACCCACUGCAAAGCCACCCGUUUUCUCAACCAGCAAAAACGAUUACGUGUACCCUGAUAAUAUCCUUCAUUUCAGCCUAACUGGAAUUGUCUGUGUUUUCCUAAUACCGUCCCCUAACACCUAUAUCUUUUCCUCAUCUCUUUUCCCUGUUUCUGAGGAUUGAGUUCAGUCCUCUGCUUUGCUCUCACUUUCUCUCUGCCUCUUUUUAUCUCUGUCUCUGAGUUCUUGUGUCUGCCAUUAUCUGUCUCUUACUGUGUUCUCGGUUUUUAUCACUGUGUGUCUGUGUCCUGCCUGAUGGUUUCUCUACCUCAGCUUUUGAGGGCAAUGCAGUGGUCUUGUGUCUCAGGGUCUCUCCAUAUCAGAGGUCUCUUCCUGACAGGCUGUGGUGUUUCUAACUCUUAGGACCACCCCCUAUAGCCAGCUAGGGGGAUUUUCUGGCAGGAAACCCUUCCUCUUCGGCCAUCAGGUGCCUCCAAGGUUAUCGUGGGGACAGUAUGACCAGAACACCCAGCCCCGCUUCUGUCAAAAAACCUGGCCACAUAGCUCUGCAGUGAUACAUCCAUGGAAGAUUCAUGAAGAAUAAUGUAACAGAGAUAUGAAUCAACCUUCUCUUUUUUAUCCCUCCAGCUCUAUCCAUCUGCCACACAAGUAUGAGCUCACAGAUGGUUAUUGGCAUUUCUUCAUCCUUUGGAAACAGUCUCUUUCAAAGAGAAAAUCUCUUUCUCUAGUGUGAGAAACCUAUUUCUAUUUUUAUUUCCACAUGGGCAAGUAAACUGGACGGCUGACCAUUUUCCUAUCCCCUACUUUAUUUGCUGUUCUUGAAGUUCCCAACUUCUCCAGCCCACUGUCCUCACCUGCUCCAGGAAGACAUGACCAUUUGAUUGGAUCUUCACUGGAAGAAUCUAGCUUUACCUCCUGGGACACAAAGGGAGUGGCAGUGCUCCUUCAGGAUCCCAGCAAGCCUCAGGACAGAAACCAAAUGCUCCUUUGUUGAACAACGAGUUCCUGACUCUUCUGGAAAUGAGAAACAUCUUAGCAAUUAGGGAACUAUUUCCUUCCUCACUCUGAGUGAAGGCUGCACUGUCGUCAAAACCUCACAUCUGUCCUGGGGACCUGCACAGAUAUUCCAUCUAACUGGCUCAGGAUCCCAGGAGAUAGCUUGUGAGCUCUCACCCUGCAGGUGCACACGAAGCAAGCCUGAGGUGUGGGACCACCCACACCACCCCUGGAAAUCCCAGCCCCUCCCAGCUUCCCAGACACUCCUGGUUGUCAUCCAGCUGCCCGGGGUGGGGGCUGGGGCGUGGCUCCAGCGUGUUCAGUGAAUGGAAGGAGGUGGUGGGUGGAGAGCAGGUAGGCUUGUAGGGGAGCAUGAGGGUGGGCCGAAGGAGGACAUCCUGGGUGCAGGAGACUGAGGCUGGAAAGGGAAGAACACACUGGGGAAGGACCAGCUCUUUAAAGGAUCUAAGCAGAGGGACUUUCCUUCUAGAAUCUGGGGAAAACAUUCAUUUGCCAGACUUUAAUUUUUUGCCCUUCGCUGGUAAGAUUUCCAGAAACAUCAGUAAAAAAUCCUGUGCGAGAGUGUUAGGGAGUUUGCAGGACCGUCAGUGAAGGGGAGGGUCCUUGGGUCCACGACCACCCCUCUCUGUGUGCCUGUAGAGAGGGGACAUCACCUACUGCGUGCAGGUGACGGCAGCAGGGGCCACGUGCCACAGAAGAGCUGUGUGCUGGGAGGGCUCGGCCGUGACCCCCGUGCUUGAGGCCGCGGUGGUCCCGGCUCUGAAUGCACAAUGGUUUCACUCAGUCCCUUCACAGAAACAGCCAGGGAUCCAGUCAGCUCCCGGGGGCGCCCGGGGCACAGUGAGUAAGUCUGAAAAGCUGCCGACACAGCGCUGGGAAGCACAGCUCUAGAGGAAGAUGAUCUCUUGCGGGUGCGGACACCCACCUGCCUUGGGGACAGACCUCCCCUGGUGACUGCUGGCCAUCUGCACAGCCCUCCCUGGGGCAAGACAGUGACAAGAAUCAAGUGAAAUGUGCGGCUUUUCCAGCUCCUUCAGUCAAGCUCACCUGUGACAGGCCCCACACCCAGCAUGAAGCAUCACCCGGAACACCUGGGUGUGUGAGUCACCGUGACUCUGCCCCGGGUGGGUCAGGCGGGUGGGAAUUCCCGGAGCUCUGGGCGGGCACCAGCCUCCCCGCCGCCCCGCGUGGCCCCGCCUGCUGGGAAAGGGCUUGGCCUCUGCUCCCGGGCACCGUGUGAAUUCGCAUCCCUGGUGCCUCGGUUACCCUGCCUCCACUCCUCCCGGUCCUGCUGGCACCUGCGGGCUUGGCUCACCUGCAGGGGAUGGUGGAGAGGGGCAGCUGCUCAUGAGAGCAAGAAGGACGGGGAAGCACAGCCAUGAGGGAAAGUCUUCCAGGACUUCGUCAGCUCCAGCAAUCCGCCUGCCUUCAGGGGGCCACCCUGUGGGAGCCUGAGGGUCCUGGGUAGCCGGUGGCCCACCUGUGCUGCAGGGAAGGAGCCGGCUGGAUGCGGGAAUGGGGACAGCGCCCCUGAGCCCGCCCCACCUUCCAGUACGGGCUGGUCCAGUCCGCCUUCCAGAAGCCACGAGGUGGCCUCCCACCUGACUUAAGCCAUUCACCACAAUAUCUGAACAUGCAUCUUACUCAGAAAAUGGAUUUUGACGAGAAGUCAGGUGGUGGCCUGGGACUUCUGGACGUGAGCAAGGGUACCAGUGAGCCAUGCAGGUGCACAGAAGAGGCCCAUCAUAAAUUCAUCACAGGAGAGAGACCAACCUCCUGCAAUCAUGUCUUUGUCUACUGAGGUACUGUACUUGAGUAACUUACAGAAAUAGCUCUCGGUUUCCCUUCAUGUGAACAUUCUAAUUUUAACUUUUGUUCUUAAAAAUACAGUUCAUUGAUUGUCACAAAGAGCUUGGGUUUAGAAGGACAUGUUUGCCCCCUGUACUCAUCAGGAGUUGCACAAAGCGUCAACACAAUUAUUGACUAGAGUCGGGACUAGAACCCAAGUAUCAGCAUUCCUGGUGAAUGUGACUUCCUCUGCUCGCACACCCACGUCUGUUGGCAUCUGGGGCUCACAGAGUCACAUGCCUUUGCAAGGAAAGUGCCUUUCCCCAGAGCUUGAGCCCCUGUCCUGGCCAGUGUCCAUCUUUCUGAGGUUGUGGCCAAGAAGACAUUCUGAGAAACAAAGGUGUGUUCUCUUAGAAAUGUCAGUGUCGUGUAAGACAAAAAAAGAAAGCCCACACUUGGACUUUUCUGGCUUGAAGCGAACUCGGUUAGCAACCUGGAUAUGUUGUCUGAUCGCCAUUUGGGCUGGAUCACUUAACUUUCUAUGCUUAUUUUGUCUUAAAUGAAAUAGGAAUCAUAACGUGCCCGUUACAGGUGCCUUGGAUAGAUAGGUAGGAGGCAGCAGUGACUUCUCGAAGGAUGUUCUCAGAGCCCCCAGAGAAAAGAAGAGCAGAGUGGAGGCAAAUCACAGAGGGGGUCCAUAGGAAGCAGACAGAAGGGGGAAAACAGGCUGACACUUCCCUGCUCUCCUGAAAGCCUCAUGCCUAACUGCAGCGUCCACUGCCUGGCUGGCUCAGUCGGUAGAGCACGAGAGAUGCAUUUAGACCUAACAGAGACAUUUUUUCAGACCCCUCUGCCUCCCACCUGGGUUUGAUGUCAUUUCCCUGCCGCCAGGAUACAGCGCUAUCCCUGCUGUCCUCAUAGGUAAUGCUAAUGUUAGUCAUCUGACCUCCGGGAAUUGUUUUGAUCUAUCAAGAAAGAGGCAGACACGGUGUUAAUGAUCUCAGUUUCCCUUCAUUUGGACAUACUAAUUUUAAUUUUUGUUUUUACAACAAGGGGACUCCCUGGGUCCAGUAAGGUACUUUCCUGUAACCCAAGAGAUAAACUGAGUCAGUCCAAACCUGCAAGGUGUAGUGACCACCACCCGCGUGGACAGGUAGAAAAAACUAGGUGUGGCUGUUAUUAAAGUCAAGGGAGCGAAAUGGGGAUUUGAUUGACUGAGCCUGUCUACCUGGCCCCCACCCCAGCAGACCAGGGGUAUGGAGGAGAAAAUAGAUUCCUCCACGAAGGGUCACCCCGGGGGAUGGAUGGACAGGGAUCAAAGCUCUCGGAAGGUCCGGAGGUGCAGUGGGAGGCAGGACACUGUGUGUGGAAGGUGGGCGUGGAGGGCAGACAUGGAGGCAGCCAGGCGUGGUAUGACUGGCCCUGUAAGGACCUAAAGCAAUUUCUGGCUAACGGGUCUCUUCCCACCAGGGGUACAGCUGGUGUCCAUAAAGCCUCCCAUCCUCAGGGUCCUGCAUUAAGCAGACUUCUGUGAAAAGAACAAAGCAAGCGUAACUGACAGAGCUGCUGACUGGAACUUGCCUUGAGGGGCCACGGGGCCCAUUCGUUGUCUCCAAGGGGGACUGUAAAAAUUACCGCACUUGGUAGAAAAAUAUCAGUUGUGACCUUAUUCUUCUGAAUCCCAAGAUCUCUUUGGGUAACAUGCUUGAAUGUUUUAUAGUCUUAAUACCCAGAAGUUCUUUCUUAUGUUAGAUUUAGGACUUUCUUGAUGCAACGUCUUUGCCUACAGUCAAAGUAUGCCUUUGUUUAUAUACAUACAUAUUUAUCCUUAGGCACAUUUAUUUGUCUUUUUGAAUGCAUAUUUAAAAUUUAAGAAUUAUGCAGUAACUUGACGGGGUAUUUCAUUUUAUUUUUUUAAUUUUUUUUAUUAAAAAAAUUUUUUUUAACGUUUAUUUAUUUUUGGGACAGAGAGAGACAGAGCAUGAACGGGGGAGGGGCAGAGAGAGAGGGAGACACAGAAUCGGAAGCAGGCUCCAGGCUCUGAGCCAUCAGCCCAGAGCCCGACGCGGGGCUCAAACUCACGGACCGCGAGAUCGUGACCUGAGCUGAAGUCGGACGCUUAACUGACUGAGCCACCCAGGCGCCCCUUGACGGGGUAUUUUCAAAGAUAAAGUAAUUAAAAAUCUCCAAUAAUCUUCACAUUGGAACCUAAAAUCUUUUUUUUUCUUUCAGACAUACUUUGGCUAAUUAAUUUUACAUCAGAUAUAUGAAAAUUUGUAUCUUGUAUUUUCCAAGAUAGAAAAUUGCCUUGAAAUCUUUAUCUUAUGCAUUUUAUGUUUUUUAUUUGCUUUUAUGUUUAUUAUACCUAAGGGAUAUAUAACAUCCCUUAAGUAGAUAUACCGUAGUUUGAUAAGUGCUCUAGUUUGAAAUUUAGAUUGAUUUAAAAAAUUUCUCAAAAGAUUUUUGUUAUUUCUUGAGAACAAUUACCUUUUCUCAACUGAGAUAAGAACACUCACCAUGAGACUUACUCCUAUUAAGAAAUGUUUAAGUGCACAAUACAGUAUUUUAACCACAGGCACAAUGUUGUACAGCAGAUCUUUAGGACUUACUCAUUUUGCAUAACUAUAACUUUGCACCCAUUGAAGAGUCAGUUGUUUCUGAGAAGCAGAAUAACUGAGUCAUUGAGUCAAUGGCAAUGCUUCCGGGUUUGUAUGUAAGUACUAGUUUUCACCAUACAUGCCCUGUGCCUGAGUAUCAGCCUCGUGUGAGUGUGUCUGUGUGUGAAUUAAGUAUGGAAUGCAUUUAUCCAGAAAGAAGUCUGGAAAAGCAGCAUUCUGGGAGGAGAUCUAUGUGCCACUCUAUGCACCACUGGGAAUUCAGUGGUCUACAUGAGCUGUGGAAUCUUUAUCGUAACCCAGCUGGAACCCAGACACAACAAUCUCGCAAAGGAUUUUUUUUUAAUUUUUUAAUGUUUAUUUAUUUUUGAAAGAGAGAGACAGAGUGCGAGCAGGGGAGGGGCAGAGACAGAAGGAGACACGGAAUCCAAAGCGGGCUCUGGGCUCUGAGCUGUCAGCACAGAGCCCCACGGGGGGCUUGAACUCAUGAACCGAGAUCAUGACCUGAGCUGAAGUUGGACACUCAACUGACGGAGCCUCCCAAGUGCUCCAAAGGAUUUUUUUUGAGGACAUAGCAUCUCCUUUCUUUGUUUUCAUGUUUUAUUGAGAUAUCAUUGACAUCAGAAAUGAUGAUCUUUUUUUCUCCCUCUUUCUAGUUUUGAGACAUAAGUGAUACAGAGCACUGUGUAAAUUUAAGGUGUACAGCAUAAUGAUCUGACUUGCAUAUGCCAUAAAAUAAUUACCACAAGUUUAGUUAACAUCCAUCAUCUCCUAUAGACAACUCCCCCCCCCCACCCAAAAAAAGGAGAUAGAAAAGGAAUAAAAUGGGUUUUUCCUUGUGAUGAGCAGAGAGGACUCUUGACUCAUAAAAGGUAAAGAAAGGUGUAGAAGAUGAUGGAUUCAAAAUUUUAUAACAUGGGUUAUAAACAGUUUACUAAUAGUCACCUUAAGCCCAAAAAUAAUCACCACUUAGACAUAUUUCAUGGCAAAUUCUGCUAUUGCCUCACUAUGAAUCUAGCGAGUAGAGAUUUUUUUUUUAAGUUCCCAUUAUUCGGGGAAUGAUUAGAAGCCCCCGGAGCAGAAUCCCAGUGAGGACCAAGGGUAAAGGACCAGGCGUGGGGACUCCUGCCAUCCACCAAUGCCCACGUGACAAAUGAAAAUUUGGAAAGGUCAUAACAAAUGUACUCUGAGCCACCAGCAGUGGGCACAGGCAGUAGACUCCCAGGACACAGUAGAUUUUCAUGCAGGGUGACUUUCACUCAACCGAAGGGGACAGAAAAUACUGUUUGCACAUUUUCAUCUCAUGAGAUUGAAGAGAGUUGUAAGUUCAUUUUCCCAGGAAAGCCCAGGUCUGACGCUGACCCUUUAUUCCCAGUGGUGUUAAUAAAAUGCUCUUAUAAGUACAGAAACACGAAGAAGCAAACUGCAGAUGGCCUCCUAUCUUCCUCAAAGAGAAAGCCCAAAUCUUGCUGGGAUCCCUGGGUUCAUUACCUAACAAUGCUACCACUCUGGCCUCACAGCUGACUGUAGCUCCCUAGUUCCCUUUGCUGCAGUCACACUGGCCUCGUCCUGCUGCUCCACAAACACAUACAGCACCUUGCCUCCCUGGGGCACUGGCACUGUCCUCUCUUCCCCCUGGGAUGCCUUCCACCCGCCAAAUGCAGAGGGCCUGCCCCCCGACCCCCCGCCACUCUCUGUCUGUACCCAGGGAGGCUCCCCCACCUCCCGCACCCAGCCCCAAGCCCCUGCCUGACAAGGUGUCAUCCCUUCCUGGAUUUUUCUUAUUCCACGUCAUUUAUCACUUUAAUACAUCAUACAUUUUACUCACCUGUCAUGCUUAUUGUCUGUCCCUCUUGGUAGAGUGUGGGCAGAGAUUUUGUUCAUCGCUGGACUUCUGGUACCCAAAACAAUGCCUGGGCUGCUGUGGAUGCUUACUAGAUAUGUGUUGAAUGGACGAGUGAGUGAGUGAGUGAGUGAAUGAAUUAAUGGAUGAGGGAACGAAUUAAUGAAUGGAUGAGUGAACAAAUGGAUGAGUGAACGAACUAAUGGAUGGAUGAGUGAAUGAAUGGAUAAGUGAGUGAAUGAGUGAAUGGAUAAGUGAAUGAAUGAAUGAGUGAAUGAGUGAAUGGAAACAGCGGCCCCAGUAGAGAGAUUUAAGGAGAAAGGUGACACGCUAGACGUGUAUUUGCAGGGAGGGCGCCAACGCUCCCUAUCUCCCUCUCAGCCACCCCAACAUUCUGUUUCCUUUACAAACUCCUCACACAUACACCUUCCCUCCUUCUCGAUUUCAUACUUAAUCACUAUUCUGACUCUUACACCAAAGGCAAAAAUGAAAGGCUCCUUGAGUAAAUCUUUGCUCUCACUGCUUAGGAGACGCUGGCAUUAAAUACCCGAGGCUGCGUUCCUAGUGGAGUCCCAUCUCCGGCCCCUGUCCCUCAACCGGACGGAACGGAGACAACGUGGAGGCAGAGGCAUCCUUGCCUUUGUUCCGGGGUCCCUGCUUGUUGUCCGGGCCCACCUUCCUUUGCAGGACGACUCACCCCCUUUCCCGUGCUCAUCUUCUAGACCCACGCUGUCUCACGUCCCCUCCCAGAGCCCCCGCCAAGUGCUGAGGUGGUUCCCCCAUUCUGUGCCUCCCUGAACUGUUAGCAUCACUCAGUCAGGUCCUUCUGCUGCCCCGAAAGCUGCCCCCUCACGAAGGUUUGCAAGCCUUCCACUCGGAUUUCUUGUCUCCCUGCCUCUCCCGGAAUCCGCAUUGGUCCCUUCAAGCCCCUGUGGGGUGUCCUGAAUGCCUGAUCCAGUACAACAUGUCCAGAGCCAACCUGGUCCUGUCCAUGUCCCUCCUGCUCUCUCUUGUCCUGUGCGAGCUGCCUCAGUUAACCGUUCUUUUCUGUCCCAUGCCCUUCCUUCUUCUCUGUCACCAAACCUGAGAACCCCACAUCAUCGGGGACCCAUUUCUUUCCCCUUCCUAGCCAUUAUCUCCACCUUGGUCACUGAAUGGCUGUUCUGGACGUCCACAGUUGCCAUCAGCCCUUACCUGGUAUUCCUGCUUCUGGUCUCAUGCAUUUCUAAUCUACCCCCAAGUCUUUCAUUAGAAGGAACAUUCUAAAAUUGAAACAAUGAUGGUGUCACUCCUCUGGAGGUACCUGAUAACCCCCUCUUGUUUAGCAGCUGAGAUCUGGAGCAUCAUAUUUAUUUUCUUUGACAACUUCUCACCAUUUUCCUGCACGCUCCUCAUUUGAGACUUGUAAUGAAUCCGUCUCAUAGUGAUGCUGAACUUCUCACCAUUUGCUUAGCAAACCAUUCUUUCACAUCUUCAUGCCUCUCUGCAAACUGUACCCCUUGCCUGGGAAUCUCUGCCUCUCUCUUUUGCUUAACAAACUCCUACUCAUCCUCCAAAACCCUGCUUGAAUUUCCCCAGGAAUCCUUUCUUAAAUCUCUUAUAUUUAUCUGCUCCAUAUAUUGCCUUGGAUAUAUUCACAUGAUAAAAUGUGUGGCAUUUUAUUUUUUAAGUUUAUUUGGCUGUGUUUCUCCUCACAUAUUCAUGUUUCCAAUUUGUUACAUUUCUCAGUGCCCAGGAACAAAAUAGGUACUCAAAAAUAUUUUUCUCUUUUUUAAAAAAAAUUUUAAUGUUUAAUUUUGAAAAAGAGAGAGAGAGUGAUCAUGAGCAAGGGAGGGGCAGAGAGAGGGAGACCCAGAAUCUGAAGCAGGCUCCAGGCUCCAAGCUGUCAGCGCAGAGCCUGAUGUGGGAUUUGAACUCAUGGAACCAUGAGAUCAUGACCUGAGCCAAAAUCGAGAGUUGGACGCUUAACCAACUGAGCCACCCAGGCGCCCCUUCUCUCUUUUUUUAAUGUUUAUUUAUUUAUUUUUUGAGAGGGGGUAACGGGUAGAAAGAGGGAGAGAGAAUCCCAAGCAGUCUCUGCAUUGUCAGGGCUGAGCCCGAUGCAGGGCUGGAAUCAUGAACCAUGAUAUCAUGACCUGAGCCAAAAUUAAGAGUCAGAUGCUUAACUGACUGAGCCACGCAGGCGCUCCUCAAAAAACAUUUUUAUUUUUAUUUUAUUUUUAAUUUCUUUUUAAUGUUUAUUUUUGAGAGAGAAACAGAGCGAGAGCAGGGGAGGGACAGACAGGGAGACACAGAACCUGAAGCAGGCUCCAGGCUCCGAGCUGUCAGCACAGAGCCCUAUGCGGGGCUCGAACCCACGAACCGUGAGAUCAUGACCUGAGAUGAAGUCAUGGCUUAACCGACUGAGCCACCCGGGCGCCCCCUCAAAAAAAAAAUUUUU
This is a long non-coding RNA of Acinonyx jubatus (cheetah), 9900 nucleotides long. RefSeq lists it as uncharacterized. The record is from RefSeq and is a predicted model, not a curated record. The transcript is spliced from 3 exons. Lineage: Eukaryota; Metazoa; Chordata; Mammalia; Carnivora; Felidae.